UCUACGGGAGGCAGCAGUGGGGAAUAUUGGACAAUGGGCGCAAGCCUGAUCCAGCAAUGCCGCGUGUGUGAAGAAGGCCUUCGGGUUGUAAAGCACUUUUAUCAGGAGCGAAACUACUGUCGGCUAAUACCCGGCGGAACUGACGGUACCUGAGGAAUAAGCACCGGCUAACUUCGUGCCAGCAGCCGCGGUAAUACGAAGGGUGCAAGCGUUAAUCGGAAUUACUGGGCGUAAAGCGUGCGUAGGCGGUGAGUUAAGUCUGCUGUGAAAUCCCCGGGCUCAACCUGGGAAUGGCAGUGGAUACUGGCUCGCUAGAGUGUGUCAGAGGAUGGUGGAAUUCCCGGUGUAGCGGUGAAAUGCGUAGAGAUCGGGAGGAACAUCAGUGGCGAAGGCGGCCAUCUGGGACAACACUGACGCUGAGGCACGAAAGCGUGGGGAGCAAACAGGAUUAGAUACCCUGGUAGUCCACGCCCUAAACGAUGCGAACUGGAUGUUGGUCUCAACUCGGAGAUCAGUGUCGAAGCUAACGCGUUAAGUUCGCCGCCUGGGGAGUACGGUCGCAAGACUGAAACUCAAAUGAAUUGACGGA
Molecule: ribosomal RNA, 589 nt
Filed under: uncultured bacterium
Lineage: Bacteria
Description: bacterial SSU rRNA
Rfam family: Bacterial small subunit ribosomal RNA
Source: RNAcentral